GAAAAAGUCAUAGAGGUUAUGAGAUUGGCUUGAAACCAGUUUUAGGGGGUUCGACUCCUUCCUUUUUCU
RNAcentral lists this transfer RNA (69 nucleotides) under Chlorocebus sabaeus (green monkey). It matches the Rfam family "tRNA". From Rfam's summary of the family: Transfer RNA (tRNA) molecules are approximately 80 nucleotides in length. Their secondary structure includes four short double-helical elements and three loops (D, anti-codon, and T loops). RNAcentral also lists the same sequence under 1 other name. Lineage: Eukaryota; Metazoa; Chordata; Mammalia; Primates; Cercopithecidae. The record is from Rfam by way of RNAcentral.